RNAcentral lists this ribosomal RNA (373 nucleotides) under uncultured bacterium. RNAcentral's name for it is "bacterial SSU rRNA". It matches the Rfam family "Bacterial small subunit ribosomal RNA", at positions 527 to 898 of the family's 1533-position model. The record is from RNAcentral.
GUAGGGGGCAAGCGUUGUCCGGAUUUAUUGGGCGUAAAGCGCGUGUAGGCGGCUUGGCAAGUCCGCUGUGAAAACUCGAGGCUCAACCUCGAGAUGUCGGUGGAAACUGCUUGGCUAGAGUCCGGAAGAGGAGUGUGGAAUUCCUGGUGUAGCGGUGAAAUGCGCAGAUAUCAGGAAGAACACCUAUGGCGAAGGCAGCACUCUGGGACGGUACUGACGCUGAGACGCGAAAGCGUGGGGAGCGAACAGGAUUAGAUACCCUGGUAGUCCACGCCGUAAACGAUGGAUGCUAGGUGUGGGCGGUGUCGACUCCGUCCGUGCCGAAGCUAACGCAUUAAGCAUCCCGCCUGGGGAGUACGGCCGCAAGGCUAAA